Molecule: ribosomal RNA, 241 nt
Filed under: Trigonopterus femoridens
Lineage: Eukaryota; Metazoa; Arthropoda; Insecta; Coleoptera; Curculionidae
Description: partial 16S ribosomal RNA
Source: RNAcentral
GGCUCACACCGGUUUAAACUCAGAUCAUGUAAAAUUUUAAAGGUCGAACAGACCUAAUUUAUUAGCCUCUUCACCAAUAAUUAAUUUUAAUCCAACAUCGAGGUCGCAAUCUUUUAUUUCGAUAAGAACUCUAGAAAAAAUCACGCUGUUAUCCCUAAGGUAAUUUAAUCUUAUAAUCUACAUUCUAGGAUCAUAUAUUCAUAAAUAAAUGGUUUUAUACAAAAAAAGUUAAUUAAAUUUU